Molecule: ribosomal RNA, 906 nt
Filed under: uncultured bacterium
Lineage: Bacteria
Description: bacterial SSU rRNA
Rfam family: Bacterial small subunit ribosomal RNA
Source: RNAcentral
UUCGCCCUUAGAGUUUGAUCCUGGCUCAGGACGAACGCUGGCGGCGCGCCUAACACAUGCAAGUCGAACGGAAGUGUUCAAUCGGAAGUUUUCGGACGGAAGAGGGGACAGUUUAGUGGCGAACGGGUGAGUAACGCGUGAGUAACCUGCCCUUCAGAGGGGGACAACAGUUGGAAACGACUGCUAAUACCGCAUAAGCCCACGGUGUCACAUGGCACAGUGAGAAAAGGAGAAAUCCGCUGAAAGAUGGACUCGCGUCUGAUUAGAUAGUUGGUGGGGUAACGGCCUACCAAGUCGACGAUCAGUAGCCGGACUGAGAGGUCGAACGGCCACAUUGGGACUGAGAGACGGCCCAGACUCCUACGGGAGGCAGCAGUGGGGAAUAUUGCACAAUGGGGGGAACCCUGAUGCAGCGACGCCGCGUGAAGGAAGAAGGUAUUCGUAUUGUAAACUUCUGUCGCAGAUGACGAAAUAAUGACGGUAAUCUGCAAGAAAGCACCGGCUAACUACGUGCCAGCAGCCGCGGUAAAACGUAGGGUGCUAGCGUUGUCCGGAAUUACUGAGUGUAAAGGGAGCGCAGGUGGCAGUGCAAGUUGGAUGUAAAAUCUACGGGCUCAACCCGUAUAAGCAUUCAAAACUGUGCAGCUUGAGUGAAGUAGAGGUAGGUGGAAUUUCCGGUGUAGCGGUGGAAUGCGUAGAUAUCGGAAGGAACAUCAGUGGCGAAGGCGACCUACUGGGCUUUAACUGACGCUGAGGCUCGAAAGCAUGGGUAGCAAACAGGAUUAGAUACCCUGGUAGUCCAUGCUGUAAACGAUGAUUACUAGGUGUGGGGGCGAAAGCUUCCGUGCCGGAGUUAACACAAUAAGUAAUCCACCUGGGGAGUACGACCGCAAGGUUGAAACUCAA